Paragonimus heterotremus is the source of this 81-nucleotide non-coding RNA. Lineage: Eukaryota; Metazoa; Platyhelminthes; Trematoda; Plagiorchiida; Troglotrematidae. The record is from the annotation of a GenBank genome assembly.
GGUUUCGUAGCUUAACUGGUAGAGCGCUUUCUAUGUUCGAACUUGCUUUUUCUGUCGCUGGUUUGAAUCCAGCCGAAACCA